GCGCGGGUGGCGGAACUGGUAUACGCGCACGUUUGAGGGGCGUGUGCCGCAAGGCAUGAGGGUUCGACCCCCUCCCCGCGCA
This 82-nucleotide transfer RNA is filed under the name Candidatus Omnitrophota bacterium. RNAcentral describes it as "Candidatus Omnitrophica bacterium (groundwater metagenome) tRNA-Leu". It matches the Rfam family "tRNA". Rfam says of the family: Transfer RNA (tRNA) molecules are approximately 80 nucleotides in length. Their secondary structure includes four short double-helical elements and three loops (D, anti-codon, and T loops). The record is from RNAcentral. Lineage: Bacteria; Pseudomonadati; Candidatus Omnitrophota.